RNAcentral lists this ribosomal RNA (215 nucleotides) under Lodderomyces orthopsilosis. RNAcentral's name for it is "Candida orthopsilosis partial 28S ribosomal RNA". It matches the Rfam family "Eukaryotic large subunit ribosomal RNA", at positions 1 to 217 of the family's 3401-position model. The record is from RNAcentral. Lineage: Eukaryota; Fungi; Ascomycota; Pichiomycetes; Serinales; Debaryomycetaceae.
AUUCGACCUCAAAUCAGGUAGGACUACCCGCUGAACUUAAGCAUAUCAAUAAGCGGAGGAAAAGAAACCAACAGGGAUUGCCUUAGUAGCGGCGAGUGAAGCGGCAAAAGCUCAAAUUUGAAAUCUGGCACUUUCAGUGUCCGAGUUGUAAUUUGAAGAAGGUAUCUUUGGGUUGGUCUUGUGUAUGUUUCGUUGGAACUAGAAACAGGAAGANG